RNAcentral lists this ribosomal RNA (442 nucleotides) under uncultured bacterium. Its description in RNAcentral is "partial 16S ribosomal RNA". It matches the Rfam family "Bacterial small subunit ribosomal RNA", at positions 338 to 795 of the family's 1533-position model. The record is from RNAcentral.
CCUACGGGCGGCAGCAGUGGGGAAUAUUGGGCAAUGGACGCAAGUCUGACCCAGCAACGCCGCGUGAAGGAAGAAGGCUUUCGGGUUGUAAACUUCUUUUAAGGGGGAAGAGCAGAAGACGGUACCCCUUGAAUAAGCCACGGCUAACUACGUGCCAGCAGCCGCGGUAAUACGUAGGUGGCAAGCGUUGUCCGGAUUUACUGGGGGUAAAGGGCGUGCAGCCGGAGAGACAAGUCAGAUGUGAACUCCACGGGCUCAACCCGUGAACUGCAUUUGAAACUGUUUCCCUUGAGUGUCGACGAGGUAAUCGGAAUUCCUUGUGUAGCGGUGAAAUGCGUAGAUAUAAGGAAGAAUACCAGUGGCGAAGGCGGAUUACUGGACGAUAACUGACGGUGAGGCGCGAAAGCGUGGGGGGCAAACAGGAUUAGAUACCCCAGUAGUC